GACGAACGCUGGCGGCGUGCUUAACACAUGCAAGUCGAACGGAAAGGCCCUGCUUUUGUGGGGUGCUCGAGUGGCGAACGGGUGAGUAACACGUGAGUAACCUGCCCUUGACUUUGGGAUAACUUCAGGAAACUGGGGCUAAUACCGGAUAGGAGCUCCUGCUGCAUGGUGGGGGUUGGAAAGUUUCGGCGGUUGGGGAUGGACUCGCGGCUUAUCAGCUUGUUGGUGGGGUAGUGGCUUACCAAGGCGUUGACGGGUAGCCGGCCUGAGAGGGUGACCGGCCACAUUGAGACUGAGAUACGGCACAGACUCCUACGGGAGGCAGAAGUGGGGAAUAUUGCACAAUGGGCGGAAGCCUGAUGCAGCAACGCCGCGUGCGGGAUGCCGGCCUUCGGGUUGUAAACCGCUUUCGCCUGUGACGAAGCGUGAGUGACGGUAAUGGGUAAAGAAGCACCGGCUAACUACGUG
This 468-nucleotide ribosomal RNA is filed under the name uncultured bacterium. RNAcentral's name for it is "partial 16S ribosomal RNA". It matches the Rfam family "Bacterial small subunit ribosomal RNA", at positions 28 to 507 of the family's 1533-position model. The record is from RNAcentral.